AGUGAACGCUGGCGGUAGGCCUAACACAUGCAAGUCGAACGGCAGCACAGUAAGAGCUUGCUCUUACGGGUGGUGAGUGGCGGACGGGUGAGGAAUACAUCGGAAUCUACUUUUUCGUGGGGGAUAACGUAGGGAAACUUACGCUAAUACCGCAUACGACCUACGGGUGAAAGCAGGGGAUCUUCGGACCUUGCGCGAUUGAAUGAGCCGAUGUCGGAUUAGCUAGUUGGCGGGGUAAAGGCCCACCGAGGCGACGAUCCGUAGCUGGUCUGAGAGGAUGAUCAGCCACACUGGAACUGAGACACGGUCCAGACUCCUACGGGAGGCAGCAGUGGGGAAUAUUGGACAAUGGGCGCAAGCCUGAUCCAGCCAUACCGCGUGGGUGAAGAAGGCCUUCGGGUUGUAAAGCCCUUUUGUUGGGAAAGAAAAGCAGCAGGUUAAUACCCCGCUGUUCUGACGGUACCCAAAGAAUAAGCACCGGCUAACUUCGUG
RNAcentral lists this ribosomal RNA (492 nucleotides) under uncultured bacterium. Its description in RNAcentral is "partial 16S ribosomal RNA". It matches the Rfam family "Bacterial small subunit ribosomal RNA", at positions 29 to 507 of the family's 1533-position model. The record is from RNAcentral.